Molecule: ribosomal RNA, 327 nt
Filed under: uncultured eukaryote
Lineage: Eukaryota
Description: partial 18S ribosomal RNA
Rfam family: Eukaryotic small subunit ribosomal RNA
Source: RNAcentral
CCCUUAGAUGUUCUGGGCCGCACGCGCGCUACACUGAUUCAUGCAACAAGUUUUGUCCUUGGCUGAUAGGCCUGGGUAAUCUUUGAACGUGAAUCGUGAUGGGGAUAGAUGAUUGCAAUUAUUCAUCUUCAACGAGGAAUUCCUAGUAAACGCAAGUCAUCAGCUUGCAUUGAUUACGUCCCUGCCCUUUGUACACACCGCCCGUCGCACCUACCGAUUGAAUGGUCCGGUGAAAUCUUCGGAUCUGAGAGAUGUCUGAUUAAUUUCGGACGCCUUUUGGAAAAGUUGCUUAAACCUUACCAUUUAGAGGAAGGUGAAGUCGUAACG